This 466-nucleotide ribosomal RNA is filed under the name uncultured bacterium. RNAcentral's name for it is "partial 16S ribosomal RNA". It matches the Rfam family "Bacterial small subunit ribosomal RNA", at positions 28 to 507 of the family's 1533-position model. The record is from RNAcentral.
GAUGAACGCUGGCGGCGUGCUUAACACAUGCAAGUCGAACGAUGAAGCCCAGCUUGCUGGGUGGAUUAGUGGCGAACGGGUGAGUAACACGUGAGUAACCUGCCCUUAACUCUGGGAUAAGCCUGGGAAACUGGGUCUAAUACCGGAUAGGAGCGUCCACCGCAUGGUGGGUGUUGGAAAGAUUUAUCGGUUUUGGAUGGACUCGCGGCCUAUCAGCUUGUUGGUGAGGUAAUGGCUCACCAAGGCGACGACGGGUAGCCGGCCUGAGAGGGUGACCGGCCACACUGGGACUGAGACACGGCCCAGACUCCUACGGGAGGCAGCAGUGGGGAAUAUUGCACAAUGGGCGCAAGCCUGAUGCAGCGACGCCGCGUGAGGGAUGACGGCCUUCGGGUUGUAAACCUCAUUCAGUAGGGAAGAAGCGAAAGUGACGGUACCUGCAGAAGAAGCACCGGCUAACUACGUG